Molecule: ribosomal RNA, 497 nt
Filed under: uncultured bacterium
Lineage: Bacteria
Description: partial 16S ribosomal RNA
Rfam family: Bacterial small subunit ribosomal RNA
Source: RNAcentral
GAUGAACGCUGGCGGCGUGCCUAAUACAUGCAAGUCGAGCGAACAGACGAGGUGCUUGCUCCUCUGACGUUAGCGGCGGACGGGUGAGUAACACGUGGAUAACCUACCUAUAAGACUGGGAUAACUUCGGGAAACCGGAGCUAAUACCGGAUAAUAUAUUGAACCGCAUGGUUCAAUAGUGAAAGACGGUUUUGCUGUCACUUAUAGAUGGAUCCGCGCCGCAUUAGCUAGUUGGUAAGGUAACGGCUUACCAAGGCAACGAUGCGUAGCCGACCUGAGAGGGUGAUCGGCCACACUGGAACUGAGACACGGUCCAGACUCCUACGGGAGGCAGCAGUAGGGAAUCUUCCGCAAAGGGCGAAAGCCUGACGGAGCAACGCCGCGUGAGUGAUGAAGGUCUUCGGAUCGUAAAACUCUGUUAUUAGGGAAGAACAAAUGUGUAAGUAACUAUGCACGUCUUGACGGUACCUAAUCAGAAAGCCACGGCUAACUACGUG